GAUGAACGCUGGCGGCGUGCCUAAUACAUGCAAGUCGAGCGAACGGACGAGAAGCUUGCUUCUCUGAUGUUAGCGGCGGACGGGUGAGUAACACGUGGAUAACCUACCUAUAAGACUGGGAUAACUUCGGGAAACCGGAGCUAAUACCGGAUAAUAUUUUGAACCGCAUGGUUCAAAAGUGAAAGACGGUCUUGCUGUCACUUAUAGAUGGAUCCGCGCUGCAUUAGCUAGUUGGUAAGGUAACGGCUUACCAAGGCAACGAUGCAUAGCCGACCUGAGAGGGUGAUCGGCCACACUGGAACUGAGACACGGUCCAGACUCCUACGGGAGGCAGCAGUAGGGAAUCUUCCGCAAUGGGCGAAAGCCUGACGGAGCAACGCCGCGUGAGUGAUGAAGGUCUUCGGAUCGUAAAACUCUGUUAUUAGGGAAGAACAUAUCUGUAAGUAACUGUGCACAUCUUGACGGUACCUAAUCAGAAAGCCACGGCUAACUACGUG
This 497-nucleotide ribosomal RNA is filed under the name uncultured bacterium. Its description in RNAcentral is "partial 16S ribosomal RNA". It matches the Rfam family "Bacterial small subunit ribosomal RNA", at positions 28 to 507 of the family's 1533-position model. The record is from RNAcentral.